AGCAGCCGCGGUAAUUCCAGCUCCAAUAGCGUAUAUUAAAGUUGUUGCAGUUAAAAAGCUCGUAGUUGAAUUUCGGGAUCAAUAUGUCGGUCGUGCCUUGGUACGUACUGGUAUCAUUGGUCUCUCCUUUCUGACGAACCAUGAUGUCAUUAAUUUGGUGUUAUGGGAAGUUAGGACUGUUACUUUGAAAAAAUUAGAGUGUUUAAAGCAGGCUUUAGCUUGAAUACAUUAGCAUGGAAUAAUGAAAUAGGACGUUCGAACCUAUUUUGUUGGUUUCUAGGAUCAACGUAAUGAUUAAUAGGGAUAGUUGGGGGCAUUAGUAUUCAAUUGUCAGAGGUGAAAUUCUUGGAUUUAUUGAAGACUAACUACUGCGAAAGCAUUUGCCAAGGAUGUUUUCAUUAAUCAAGAACGAAAGUUAGGGGAUCGAAGACGAUCAGAUACCGUUGUAGUCUUAACCAUAAACUAUGCCGACUAGGGAUCGGAUGAUGUUAAUUUUUAAUGACUCAUUCGGCGCCUUACG
This 520-nucleotide ribosomal RNA is filed under the name uncultured Glomus. RNAcentral's name for it is "SSU rRNA". It matches the Rfam family "Eukaryotic small subunit ribosomal RNA", at positions 569 to 1092 of the family's 1831-position model. The record is from RNAcentral. Lineage: Eukaryota; Fungi; Glomeromycota; Glomeromycetes; Glomerales; Glomeraceae.